RNAcentral lists this ribosomal RNA (330 nucleotides) under uncultured Anoxybacillus sp. RNAcentral describes it as "bacterial SSU rRNA". It matches the Rfam family "Bacterial small subunit ribosomal RNA", at positions 1047 to 1382 of the family's 1533-position model. Lineage: Bacteria; Bacillati; Bacillota; Bacilli; Caryophanales; Anoxybacillaceae. The record is from RNAcentral.
GGUUGUCGUCAGCUCGUGUCGUGAGAUGUGGUUAAGUCCGCAACGAGCGCAACCUCGACCUUAGUUGCCAGCAUUCAGUUGGGCACUCUAAGGUGACUGCCGGCUAAAAGUCGGAGGAAGGUGGGGAUGACGUCAAAUCAUCAUGCCCCUUAUGACCUGGGCUACACACGUGCUACAAUGGGCGGUACAAAGGGUCGCGAACCCGCGAGGGGGAGCCAAUCCCAAAAAGCCGCUCUCAGUUCGGAUUGCAGGCUGCAACUCGCCUGCAUGAAGCCGGAAUCGCUAGUAAUCGCGGAUCAGCAUGCCGCGGUGAAUACGUUCCCGGGCCUU